RNAcentral lists this non-coding RNA (29 nucleotides) under Rattus norvegicus (Norway rat). Lineage: Eukaryota; Metazoa; Chordata; Mammalia; Rodentia; Muridae. The record is from RNAcentral.
GACCCUGCUGACAACAGAGCUGAAGGAUG